ACACUGGGCUCUCAACGUGGUGUGGAAGGUAGCCUGUUACAGUGCUGGAUUCAUAAAAGGGCCUUUAUGGUUUGUGAAAGAAUAUCUGUGUGCUUAGGGAGGAAACUUUUUGAUCUGCAGAAAAGCCAGAAGACAUCUAGGACAUCCAUAAAAAUUCAUCAGAGAGCAUUUUACUACUGAGCUGCAAAGAUCAACCACCUCAGAAGAGCCAGAUUCCACUUCUGUGGCCAGGACUUUUACAUUAUGGCUGGUGUCUGAUGAUUUGUGAGCCUCAAGUGACUACUCUGUGGAAUCAUCUGUCCUUGCCUUUGAAUUAGCUUUCCCUAGGCCAUGAGUCAACAUUAGUAGUUUAUACAUCCAAAUUGAUGACAAGAGCACCUCAAAGGCAGCAGCCUCAAGGAGCAGCCAUGGCCCCAGACUUGUCGCACGGAUGCAGAAAACUUAAUGGAGGAGGCUGAGGUCAGAAUGGGAAGAGUUUUUAAAAAAUAAAAAGGGGAGCUAAUAUGU
RNAcentral lists this long non-coding RNA (507 nucleotides) under Homo sapiens (human). RNAcentral's name for it is "mir-99a-let-7c cluster host gene". Lineage: Eukaryota; Metazoa; Chordata; Mammalia; Primates; Hominidae. The record is from RNAcentral.